ACGUGAGAAACCUGCCCCGAACAUGGGAAUAACAGUCGGAAACGACUGCUAAUACCGAAUACCUUCACGACGUCGCAUGGCGAUGUGAAGAAAGCUUUUGCGGUUUGGGAGGGUCUCGCGGCCUAUCAGCUAGUUGGUGAGGUAACGGCUCACCAAGGCAUCGACGGGUAGCUGGUCUGAGAGGAUGAUCGGCCACACUGGGACUGAGACACGGCCCAGACUCCUACGGGAGGCAGCAGUGGGGAAUAUUGCACAAUGGGCGCAAGCCUGAUGCAGCAACGCCGCGUGCGGGAUGAAGGC
This 300-nucleotide ribosomal RNA is filed under the name uncultured Acidimicrobiales bacterium. RNAcentral describes it as "bacterial SSU rRNA". It matches the Rfam family "Bacterial small subunit ribosomal RNA", at positions 115 to 415 of the family's 1533-position model. Lineage: Bacteria; Bacillati; Actinomycetota; Acidimicrobiia; Acidimicrobiales. The record is from RNAcentral.